RNAcentral lists this ribosomal RNA (300 nucleotides) under Pluralibacter gergoviae. RNAcentral's name for it is "bacterial LSU rRNA". It matches the Rfam family "Bacterial large subunit ribosomal RNA", at positions 2631 to 2925 of the family's 2925-position model. Lineage: Bacteria; Pseudomonadati; Pseudomonadota; Gammaproteobacteria; Enterobacterales; Enterobacteriaceae. The record is from RNAcentral.
UCGGUCCCUAUCUGCCGUGGGCGCUGGAGAAUUGAGGGGGGCUGCUCCUAGUACGAGAGGACCGGAGUGGACGCAUCACUGGUGUUCGGGUUGUCAUGCCAAUGGCAUUGCCCGGUAGCUACAUGCGGAAGAGAUAAGUGCUGAAAGCAUCUAAGCACGAAACUUGCCCCGAGAUGAGUUCUCCCUGAGACUUAGAGUCUCCUGAAGGAACGUUGAAGACGACGACGUUGAUAGGCCGGGUGUGUAAGCGCAGCGAUGCGUUGAGCUAACCGGUACUAAUGAACCGUGAGGCUUAACCUU